Peromyscus eremicus (cactus mouse) is the source of this 414-nucleotide non-coding RNA. Lineage: Eukaryota; Metazoa; Chordata; Mammalia; Rodentia; Cricetidae. The record is from the annotation of a RefSeq genome assembly.
AUGGAGAGGAAACUGGAAGCUGUGCUGGGGAUUCUGUGCGUGCAGAUUUGCUGGGUGAGAGGAGUUGAGGUGGAGCAGAGUCCUUCAGCCCUGAGUCUCCAGGAGGGAACCAGUUCUGCCCUGAGAUGCAGUUUUUCUGAAACCCUGACAACUGUGCAGUGGUUCCGACAGAAUCCCAGGGGCAGCCUCGUCAAUCUUUUUUACCUGGCUCCAGGAACAAAGGAGAAUGGGAGGUUAAAGUCAACAUUCAACUCCAAGGAGCGCUACAGCACCCUGCACAUCAGGGAUGCCCAGCUGGAGGACUCAGGCACCUACCUCUGUGCAGUACAAGCACAGUGCUCCCAGCAAGCCUGCAACCUGGCCCCAAACUGCAGCUGUGUGUGCAGCUACAGUCCUACCACAGGGAGCCUCUGA